AUAUCACUUUCUCAGGAUGAACUAUCCAAGAGGUUCUUAGUCAUAAGAUCACUGUAUGAAUCAUCAUACCUUGGUAUUCUUCGUAUGGUUAGAUUUCUGAUUGGAGUCCCAUCUUCUGGACGGCUCUUUAUUAGAUUCUUUACCUAUGUCAAGUCGACAGUUUGGAAGUAACAGUAUGCGGUGAGUGAAAAAUUCCAAGGCAAGAGAUGCAAUAAUUUUAAUUAGAUUUCCUGCUGCUACGUCAUUAAGGCAAGGUAACUGUGAACCACAUAGGAAAGUUUUGUUUGGUUGAACUCACCAGUACAAGCCCAACAAUGUUAGCCGGGCUUCCCAAGUAGACAGGCACCCGGCUAUGCCCUUUGCUCAAUAUUAGACCCAUUGUGUCACUGAGGAAGAGAUCAAAUAAUCACAGAGGAACAAGAAAAUCUUGCAAUGGAGAAAAAAUUAAGUCAAGUCUAGUGCUCCAGAGAUAAUGGUUGUUUCAUUGUGGGACAAUUCACCCCCUUUUCCUGCCUGAUUGCUCAAAAUUGUUCACAUGUAGGGAAAACAGUGAAAUUGAUGCUGUUAUCUACAUUGGUGUUUGGUAAUGGACAAUUGUGCAGGUUGUGAGCUUUUAACUAACCUCAUUUCCAUGCAUAUCGACAAGUAUUUUCAGCUCCGCACGCCUCAGCAGAGCAGAGUGCCCCUUCCCAAGCAGCAAGUCCAAAAGCUUGUGCUUUGAUGAGGACUUCCAGAUCAACGAGGCUGAGGGACAUCAGUCCUAGAGUAAGGCCAGACAUGAGUCCUGCGAAACAAACAAGCGCGAUGCAUAUCACUAGAUACACCCAAAACAUCGUUUCACAGCAUGGGACAUCAUUUGCUGCCAUUGCAAUCUAAACAGAAUUACUUGCAACUGCUCCAGGUGGUAUCUCGGCCGGUAAGGCAUUUGUAAGAAUAGAAGACAUCUCGAUAAUGAGUGUGCCACUUGACCAACGAGGCCCCUCAAGGACUUUUGCUAUCCUAGGUUUCAAGGCUCUUGUCGAUGUUGGAUUUGAGAAGGCAACCCUUUCCCCUCUCCUUGAGUUCAAAUGCAGAUACCAAGAAAAGCACCAAAGUUAUAAUUGUAACAUUAUAAUAGAGUCAUGCACAGUUCGGUUUAAUAAUAUUAGUUUGAAGCAGAGUACUGUAAA
Salvia splendens (bonfire salvia) is the source of this 1169-nucleotide long non-coding RNA. RefSeq lists it as uncharacterized. NCBI's taxonomy places the organism in Eukaryota, Viridiplantae, Streptophyta, Magnoliopsida, Lamiales, Lamiaceae. The record is from RefSeq and is a predicted model, not a curated record. The transcript is spliced from 5 exons.